This 383-nucleotide ribosomal RNA is filed under the name uncultured eukaryote. RNAcentral's name for it is "partial 18S ribosomal RNA". It matches the Rfam family "Eukaryotic small subunit ribosomal RNA", at positions 592 to 976 of the family's 1831-position model. The record is from RNAcentral.
CAAUAGCGUAUAUUAAAGUUGUUGCAGUUAAAAAGCUCGUAGUUGGAUUUCUGGUAGGAGUGACCGUUCCGAACUUGAUUGUUCGUGUAUUGUGUUUUCUCCAGCCAUCCUUGUGGAGAACUUUUCUUGCAUUAAUUUGUAGGGAUUGGGACCCGCAUCGUUUACUGUGAAAAAAUUAGAGUGUUUAAAGCAGGCAAUCGCUUGAAUACAUUAGCAUGGAAUAAUAAGAUAGGACUUUGGUACUAUCUUGUUGGUUUGCAUACCAAAUUAAUGAUCAACAGGAACAGUUUGAGGAUAUUCGUAUGAACAUGUCAGAGGUGAAAUUCUUGGAUUUUGAUCAGACGAACUACUGCGAAAGCAUUUAUCAAGGAUGUUUUCAUUAA